UCCAGACUCCUACGGGAGGCAGCAGUGGGGGAUAUUGCACAAUGGGGGGAACCCUGAUGCAGCGACGCCGCGUGGGUGAAGGAGCGUUUCGGCGCGUAAAGCCCUCUCGGCAGGGAAGAAGGAGGACGGUACCUGACUAAGAAGCCCCGGCUAACUACGUGCCAGCAGCCGCGGUAAUACGUAGGGGGCAAGCGUUAUCCGGAUUUACUGGGUGUAAAGGGGGCGCAGACGGCAGCGCAAGCCAGGAGUGAAAGCCCGGGGCCCAACCCCGGGACUGCUCUUGGAACUGCGCGGCUGGAGUGCAGGAGGGGCAGGCGGAAUUCCUGGUGUAGCGGUGAAAUGCGUAGAUAUCAGGAGGAACACCGGUGGCGAAGGCGGCCUGCUGGACUGCGACUGACGUUGAGGCCCGAAAGCGUGGGGAGCAAACAGGAUUAGAUACCCCUGUACA
This 448-nucleotide ribosomal RNA is filed under the name uncultured bacterium. RNAcentral describes it as "partial 16S ribosomal RNA". It matches the Rfam family "Bacterial small subunit ribosomal RNA", at positions 330 to 794 of the family's 1533-position model. The record is from RNAcentral.